GUUCAGUCAUGGCUCCAGUUGAACGCUGGCGGGAUGCUUUACACAUGCAAGUCGAACAGCGGCACGGACUUCGGUCUGGUGGCGAGUGGCGAACUGGUGAGUAAUGUAUCGGAACGUGCCUAGUAGCGGGGGAUAACUACGCGAAAGCGUAGCUAAUACGCCGCCCUUCGGAAAGCAUGGGGACCUUCCGGGCCUCGCACUAUUAAACAGCCGAUAUCGGAUUAGCUAGUUGGUGGGAGUAACGGCUCACCAAGGCGACGAUCCGUAGCUGGUUUGAAGGACGACCAGCCACACUGGGACUGAGACACGGCCCAGACUCUACGGGGAGGCAGCAGUGAAAUUUUGGACAAUGAGGGGAAACCCUGAUCCAGCCAUCCGCGUGUGCGAUGAAGGCCUUCGGGUUGUAAAGCACUGGCAGGAAAGAAACGGCACGGGAUAAUACCCGUGCAACUGACGUACCUGCAGAAUAAAGCACCGGCUAACUACGUACCCGCUUGUAGCCGCGGUAAUACGUAAGUGCAAGCGUUAAUCAGGUCUGGGCGUAAAGCGUGCGCAGGCGGUUCGGAAGAAAGAUGAAAUCAGAGCUUAACUUUGGAACUGCAUUUUAACUACCGAGCUAGAGUGUCAGAGGAGGUGGAAUUCCGCGUGUAGCAGUGAAAUGCGUAGAUAUGCGGAGGAACACCGAUGGCGAAGGCAGCCUCCUGGGAUAACACUGACGCUCAUGCACGAAGCGUGAGGCCGGCAGGGUCGAUACCUGACUAGUCCCACGCCUAGAAAGCGAUGUCAACUAGCUAAGUUUGGGGCCUUCCGGAGCGCUGACCAGUAGCUAACGCGUGAAGUUGACCGCCUGGGAGUACGGUCGCAAGAUUAAAACUCAAAGGAAUUGACGGGGACCCGCACAAGCGGUGGAUGAUGUGGAUUAAUUCGAUGCAACGCGAAAAACCUUACCUACCCUUGACAUGUCUGGAAUCCCGAAGAGAUUUGAGGUGCUCGCAAGAGAACCGGAACACAGGUGCUGCAUGGCUGUCGUCAGCUCGUGUCGUGAGAUGUUGGGUUAAGUCCCGCAACGAGCGCAACCCUUGUCGUGGUUGCUUUGAAGGGCACUCUAAUGAGACGCGGUGACAAACCGGAGGAAGGUGGGGAUGACGUCAAGUCCUCCAUGGCCCUUAUGGGUAGGGCUUCACACGUCAUACAAUGGUCGGGACAGAGGGUCGCCAACCCGCGAGAGAGGAGCAAUCCCAAGAAACCCGGUCGUAGUCCGGAUCACAGUCUGCAACUCGACUGCGUGAAGUCGGAAUCGCUAGUAAUCGCGGAUCAGCAUGUCGCGGUGAAUACGUUCCCGGGUCUUGUACACACCGCCCGUCACACCAUGGGAGUGGGUUUUACCAGAAGUGAUUCAACCUAACCGUAAGGAGGCGAUUACCACAUUGGGAUUCAUGACUGGGGUGAAGUCGUAACAAGGUAA
RNAcentral lists this ribosomal RNA (1465 nucleotides) under uncultured Bordetella sp. RNAcentral's name for it is "partial 16S-23S ribosomal RNA intergenic spacer". It matches the Rfam family "Bacterial small subunit ribosomal RNA". Lineage: Bacteria; Pseudomonadati; Pseudomonadota; Betaproteobacteria; Burkholderiales; Alcaligenaceae. The record is from RNAcentral.